GUAACAAGGUUUCCGUAGGUGAACCUGNGGAAGGAUCAUUGUCGAAACCUGCCCAGCAGAACGACCNGCGAACUUGUGAAAUCACCUGCGGGAGGGGUGCGUCCGCCUUGCUGNGGUCGCUCCUCCCCGCCUGUCGCGGGUGCGGGCCUCNNCUUGCUCCCAGCGGCGGAAAACAACGAACCCCGGCUCGGACUGCGCCAAGGAAAUCUAACGAGAGAGCACGCUCCUGCGGUCCCGGACACGGUGCGCUUGCGGGAUGCGGCGCCUUCUUUCACUUUAUCUAAAANGACUCUCGGCAACGGAUAUCUCGGCUCUCGCAUCGAUGAAGAACGUAGCGAAAUGCGAUACUUGGUGUGAAUUGCAGAAUCCCGUGAACCAUCGAGUCUUUGAACGCAAGUUGCGCCCCAAGCCGUUAGGCCGAGGGCACGUCUGCCUGGGUGUCACGCAUCGUUGCCCCCACCACAACCCUUUCGGGCUGUCGCUGGGGGCGGAAANUGGCCUCCCGUGAGCUCNUAGCACGCGGCUGGCCCAAAAUUGAGUCCUCGGCGACCGAAGCCGCGACGAUCGGUGGUGAGAACAAGCCUCUCGAGCAAACGUCGCGCGCUCCUGUCCCUGAACGCGGGCUCCGGACCCUGACGCUCCGNUCANGNGGCGCUCGCAUCGNGACCCCAGGUCAGGCGGGAUUACCCGCUGAGUUUNAGCAUAUCAAUA
RNAcentral lists this ribosomal RNA (711 nucleotides) under Harrisonia abyssinica. Its description in RNAcentral is "eukaryotic LSU rRNA". The stretch from base 288 to 443 matches the Rfam family "5.8S ribosomal RNA". Lineage: Eukaryota; Viridiplantae; Streptophyta; Magnoliopsida; Sapindales; Rutaceae. The record is from RNAcentral.